GCAAGUCGAACGGUAACGAUGGGAGCUUGCUCCCAGGCGACGAGUGGCGGACGGGUGAGUAAUACUUAGGAAUCUACCCAGUAGUGGGGGACAACUCGAGGAAACUCGAGCUAAUACCGCAUACGCCCUACGGGGGAAAGCGGGGGAUCUUCGGACCUCGCGCUAUUGGAUGAGCCUAAGUCGGAUUAGCUUGUUGGUGAGGUAAAGGCUCACCAAGGCAACGAUCCGUAGCUGGUCUGAGAGGACGAUC
This 250-nucleotide ribosomal RNA is filed under the name uncultured bacterium. RNAcentral describes it as "partial 16S ribosomal RNA". It matches the Rfam family "Bacterial small subunit ribosomal RNA", at positions 57 to 305 of the family's 1533-position model. The record is from RNAcentral.